GCAGUCAGCCAGACGACCGCCGGCUCUCGUACUGGCGUCGGGCCAAAGGCGAGGGCGGGAGGAAAGUCCGGACUCCGAAGGGCAGUGCGCCGGGUAACGCCCGGGCAGGGAAACCUGACGGACCAGUGGCACAGAAAACACACAGCCUACCGGCGUCAGCCGCGGCAAUGGUGAAAAGGUGCGGUAAGAGCGCACCGCGUCCGUGGCAACACGGAUGGCAGGCAAAACCCCGCACGGAGCAAGACCAAAUAGGGUGGCGCUCGAGGACGGCCCGUCCGAAGCCACCGGGUAGGUCGCUCGAGCCCGCGAGCAAUCGCGGGACUAGAGGAAUGGUCGUUACCCAGAGCNNNNNNNNNUUCGGCUUAUCGGAUGGCUGCGACG
This 381-nucleotide RNase P RNA is filed under the name Acidobacteria bacterium RIFCSPLOWO2_02_FULL_68_18. RNAcentral describes it as "RNase P RNA component class A". It matches the Rfam family "Bacterial RNase P class A". Rfam says of the family: Ribonuclease P (RNase P) is a ubiquitous endoribonuclease, found in archaea, bacteria and eukarya as well as chloroplasts and mitochondria. Its best characterised activity is the generation of mature 5'-ends of tRNAs by cleaving the 5'-leader elements of precursor-tRNAs. Lineage: Bacteria; Pseudomonadati; Acidobacteriota. The record is from RNAcentral.